RNAcentral lists this ribosomal RNA (250 nucleotides) under uncultured bacterium. RNAcentral describes it as "partial 16S ribosomal RNA". It matches the Rfam family "Bacterial small subunit ribosomal RNA", at positions 355 to 597 of the family's 1533-position model. The record is from RNAcentral.
UGGGGAAUAUUGGACAAUGGGCGCAAGCCUGAUCCAGCCAUGCCGCGUGUGUGAAGAAGGCCUUCGGGUUGUAAAGCACUUUCACUUGGGAAGAAAAGUUGGUCGUUAAUAGCGGCCAGCCGUGACAUUACCUUGAGAAGAAGCACCGGCUAACUCCGUGCCAGCAGCCGCGGUAAUACGGAGGGUGCGAGCGUUAAUCGGAAUUACUGGGCGUAAAGCGCGCGUAGGCGGUUUGUUAAGUCAGCUGUGA